GUCUCUAGUUUAUAGUUUCCUAAAAGAGCGUUAUGCAUACUCUAUCCCAAUAGGACUCUUACUUGCUACGAACAUGUGAUGGAGAAAUCACUUCAAACAGCGACUGGAGGGUCAUAAACUCUCUGUGCUGCUGCAAUAUUAUUGAAAGAAGCGGUUUUCCCUGCUCAUGUCAUCUCCUGUGCACUUUGAUCUGGGUGAAGUGGCCUGCAGUUGUACAGCAAGGUAAUGGGAUAGCACUAAACCAAGGAGAUCACAUUAGUCACCAAGGUAGAAUAUGAUCUCUUUUCAGACUGUAAGUACUUAUUUUUUCUUUGAUAC
This 318-nucleotide long non-coding RNA is filed under the name Coturnix japonica (Japanese quail). RNAcentral's name for it is "lncRNA (ENSCJPG00005003802.1)". Lineage: Eukaryota; Metazoa; Chordata; Aves; Galliformes; Phasianidae. The record is from RNAcentral.